RNAcentral lists this ribosomal RNA (398 nucleotides) under uncultured Microsporidia. RNAcentral describes it as "SSU rRNA". It matches the Rfam family "Microsporidia small subunit ribosomal RNA", at positions 1 to 405 of the family's 1311-position model. Lineage: Eukaryota; Fungi; Microsporidia. The record is from RNAcentral.
CACCAGGUUGAUUCUGCCUGACGUGGACGCUUGCCUUAAAGAUUAAGCCAUGCAAGCCAGCGAAGGUAACGGAGCGGCAAACGGCUCAGUAGGACAGGGACUUCUGACCACUAUGCAGGAUAACCUCGGUAAUCUGUGGCUAAUACUAGAGUGGGUGAGACUCUGCCCUAGCUUGGCGGUACGGUAAGUGCGUACCGUGGCGAUGACGGGUAACGGGGAAUCGGGGUUUGAUUCCGGAGAGGGAGCCUGAGAGAUGGCUGCCACGUCCAAGGACGGCAGCAGGCGCGGAAAUUACCCACUUGGAGGACCAGAGGUAGUGACGAGGCGUUAUUAAUGAGAAUAGUGUAAAAAGCUGUUUGAAAGCAACUGGAGGGCAAGUCUGGUGCCAGCAGCCGCGG